ACAUAAGCGUGUAAGACACAUUGAUAGCCUUUUCUCGAGUCUGCGGAUUGUGGUGCAUGGCCGUUCCUAGUUCUUAUUACAAAUAGAUGUUUUAACGGUUAAGGUGUUGAAACUUUUAUGAAAUCUGUUUAUAAAAGUGGAGCCGUAUCUGUUAGUUUGUCCAUUUACAGGAGAAAAUAAUGCGAUUGAGCAAUGACAGCUCUGUAACGCCUUUAGAUGCCCUGGGCUGCACAAUGAACGUAUUAACAUGUAUUCCUUAGACCUAGUGAUCCGCAUAAAUCGCUGGACGACUUUCAGACUUGGAAUUGUGAAUUGAAACUGUUCGUUUGGAACUUCGAAUUCCCAGUAAGUGUGAGUCAUUAAUUCACAUUGAUUGCGUUCAUGGUCUUUGUGCACAUUACUGAUUUAGUGAGAUCACCG
Glossina morsitans morsitans is the source of this 420-nucleotide non-coding RNA. The record is from Rfam. Lineage: Eukaryota; Metazoa; Arthropoda; Insecta; Diptera; Glossinidae.